Molecule: small nucleolar RNA, 142 nt
Organism: Anguilla rostrata (American eel)
Lineage: Eukaryota; Metazoa; Chordata; Actinopteri; Anguilliformes; Anguillidae
Product: small nucleolar RNA SNORA8
Exons: 1
Source: RefSeq, a predicted model, not a curated record
AGCACUGUAUGGUAUCUGCAGACAGCUGUUUUCCCCAGGCUGGCCUGUUCAUUACUCAGUGCGAGAGCAACUCAGCAUCUGGCAUCGUUGGUCUCCAUGCCUUUCCGUGCUUUGGAGUCCUGGUAUUUCUGCUGAGACAAGC